GUACUCUCUUCGGCAGCACAUACACUAAAAUUGGAACAAUACAGAGAUUAGCAUGGCCACUAUGCAAGGAUGACACACAAAUUCAUGAAGUGUUCCACAUUUAA
RNAcentral lists this small nuclear RNA (104 nucleotides) under Propithecus coquereli (Coquerel's sifaka). The record is from RNAcentral. Lineage: Eukaryota; Metazoa; Chordata; Mammalia; Primates; Indriidae.